This 320-nucleotide ribosomal RNA is filed under the name uncultured Candidatus Scalindua sp. RNAcentral describes it as "bacterial SSU rRNA". It matches the Rfam family "Bacterial small subunit ribosomal RNA", at positions 365 to 676 of the family's 1533-position model. Lineage: Bacteria; Pseudomonadati; Planctomycetota; Candidatus Brocadiia; Candidatus Brocadiales; Candidatus Scalinduaceae. The record is from RNAcentral.
UUCGCAAUGCCCGAAAGGGUGACGAAGCGACGCCGCGUGGGUGAGGAAGGCCUUCGGGUUGUAAAACCCUGUCAGGAGUUAUGAAAUGUAAGUGCGCUAAUAUCGUUCUUAUUUGACAAAGGCUCCAAAGGAAGCCACGGCUAACUCUGUGCCAGCAGCCGCGGUAAUACAGAGGUGGCGAGCGUUGUUCGGAAUUAUUGGGCGUAAAGAGCACGUAGGUGGAUUUGUAAGUCAGAUGUGAAAGCCUUCUGUUCAACGGAAGAAUUGCAUCUGAAACUACAAACCUUGAGUAUAGGAGGGGAGAGUGGAACUUCUGGUGG